RNAcentral lists this ribosomal RNA (499 nucleotides) under uncultured Glomeromycotina. RNAcentral describes it as "partial small subunit ribosomal RNA". It matches the Rfam family "Eukaryotic small subunit ribosomal RNA", at positions 591 to 1092 of the family's 1831-position model. Lineage: Eukaryota; Fungi; Glomeromycota. The record is from RNAcentral.
CCAAUAGCGUAUAUUAAAGUUGUUGCAGUUAAAAAGCUCGUAGUUGAAUUUCGAGAUCGGUUUAUUGGUCGUGCUAUUGUACGUACUGGUAUUACCGGUUUCUCCUUUCUGACGAACCUUAAUGCCAUUAAUUUGGUGUUUUGGGAAAUCAGGACUGUUACUUUGAAAAAAUUAGAGUGUUUAAAGCAGGCUCACGCUUGAAUACAUUAGCAUGGAAUAACGGAAUAGGACGUUUGAUUCUAUUUUGUUGGUUUCUAGGAUCGACGUAAUGAUUAAUAGGGAUAGUUGGGGGCAUUAGUAUUCAAUUGUCAGAGGUGAAAUUCUUGGAUUUAUUGAAGACUAACUACUGCGAAAGCAUUUGCCAAGGAUGUUUUCAUUAAUCAAGAACGAAAGUUAGGGGAUCGAAGACGAUCAGAUACCGUCGUAGUCUUAACCAUAAACUAUGCCGACUAGGGAUCGGAUGAUGUUAAUUUUUUAAUGACUCAUUCGGCGCCUUACG